GUCGGGUUGACGCGGACGACCGGGAGGACUUCCAUCGACUCAAAGACAUGUCGGUCCCGAAGCAGAGGGAGCUUGUUACCGAACAAGCUCUCUAUGAUGCCGGCCUGAGUCUGGUCCCCCGAAUAGGUAUCGCCCGAUCCCCCAGCUUCUCUUUUUGUUCGGCUUUAGGGUAGCUUUGGUCCGGCCUUUAACACUCUUGUCGGUAUUGCAGGGACACCGCCGAGGAUGAGGCCGACCGAUGCCGAGAUU
RNAcentral lists this long non-coding RNA (249 nucleotides) under Elaeis guineensis (African oil palm). RNAcentral's name for it is "long non-coding RNA (EGUI_LNC051029)". Lineage: Eukaryota; Viridiplantae; Streptophyta; Magnoliopsida; Arecales; Arecaceae. The record is from RNAcentral.